This 97-nucleotide non-coding RNA is filed under the name Corynebacterium camporealensis. Its description in RNAcentral is "TPP sequence". It matches the Rfam family "TPP riboswitch aptamer (THI element)". From Rfam's summary of the family: Vitamin B(1) in its active form thiamin pyrophosphate (TPP) is an essential coenzyme that is synthesised by coupling of pyrimidine and thiazole moieties in bacteria. The previously detected thiamin-regulatory element, thi box was extended, resulting in a new, highly conserved RNA secondary structure, the THI element, which is widely distributed in eubacteria and also occurs in some archaea. Analysis of operon structures identified a large number of new candidate thiamin-regulated genes, mostly transporters, in various prokaryotic organisms. The record is from Rfam by way of RNAcentral. Lineage: Bacteria; Bacillati; Actinomycetota; Actinomycetes; Mycobacteriales; Corynebacteriaceae.
UUAUACAACAUGGGGUGCCCCGCCAGCGGGGCUGAGAAAUACCCAUUGAACCUGCUCUCAGUUAGAACUAGCGAAGGAAUUGUUGUGGAUUUUGCUG